AUUGAACGCUGGCGGCAGGCCUAACACAUGCAAGUCGAGCGAGCGGCGGACGGGUGAGUAAUGUAUGGGGACCUACCCGAUAGAGGGGGAUAACUACUGGAAACGUUGGCUAAUACCGCAUACUAUCGGAUGAACCAAUAUGGGAUUAGCUAGUCGGUGGGGUAAAGGCUAACCUAGGCGACGAUCCCUAGCGGGUCUGAGAGGAGGAUCAGCCACACUGGGACUGAGACACGGCCCAGACUCCUACGGGAGGCAGCAGUGGGGAAUAUGGCACAAUGGGCGCAAGCCUGAUGCAGCCAUGCCGCGUGUAGGAAGAAGGCCUUAGGGUUGUAAAGUACUUUUAGCGGGGAGGCGUUACCCGCAGAAGAAGCACCGGCUAACUCCGUGCCAGCAGCCGCGGUAAUAC
RNAcentral lists this ribosomal RNA (406 nucleotides) under uncultured bacterium. Its description in RNAcentral is "partial 16S ribosomal RNA". It matches the Rfam family "Bacterial small subunit ribosomal RNA", at positions 29 to 526 of the family's 1533-position model. The record is from RNAcentral.